RNAcentral lists this ribosomal RNA (1744 nucleotides) under human gut metagenome. Its description in RNAcentral is "bacterial LSU rRNA". It matches the Rfam family "Bacterial large subunit ribosomal RNA", at positions 1221 to 2827 of the family's 2925-position model. The record is from RNAcentral.
UUUUUGGGUAGGGGAGCGUCCUGCUCUGGGUGAAGCUGCCUGGUGAUGGGUGGUGGACGGGGUGGGAGUGAGAAUGCAGGCAUGAGUAGCGUUUCGUGGGUGAGAAUCCUACGCGCUGAUUGACUAAGGGUUCCAGGGGCAGGUUUGUCCGCCCUGGGUUAGUCGGGUCCUAAGGCGAGGCCGACAGGCGUAGUCGAUGGGUGACCAGUUGAUAUUCUGGUACCGUUUGUUUUCCGUCUGACGCUGCAUGCUUUCGCGUCGUGUGCUUGCCGUGCGUGGUGUUGUCUUUCGGGAUGAUGCUGUUGUGUGGCUGUGUGUGGUGUGGGGUGUGUGGUGAGCAUUGGGGUGACGCAGGGAGGUAGUUGCUGCACACUGGUGGUUAUGUGUGUCUAAGGUUGUGGCCUGUUUCUUGGGUGAAAUCCGGGAAGCUGCGUUUGAUCGCGUGGGUGAGGGCUGAUGGGGCUGCCUGUUGGGGUGGCUAGUGGUGAUCCUGUACUGCCGAGAAAAGCCUGGAUGUGAGGAAGAUGAGCGCCCGUACCCUAAACCGACUCUGGUGGUCAGGUAGAGUAUACCGAGGCGUGCGAGUGAAUCAUGGUUAAGGAAUUCGGCAAAUUGCCCCCGUAACUUUGGGAUAAGGGGGGCCCUGCUGGUGUGCCUGCUUUUGCGUGGGUGGUGCUGGUUGGGGUCGCAGAGAAUUGGGAGAAGCGACUGUUUAUUAAAAACAUAGGUGUGUGCUAAGCCGUAAGGCGCUGUAUACGCACUGACGCCUGCCCGGUGCUGGAAGGUUAAGAGGACGACUUAACUGCUUUUUUGUGGUGAAGGUUUGAAUUUAAGCCCCAGUAAACGGCGGUGGUAACUAUAACCAUCCUAAGGUAGCGAAAUUCCUUGUCGGGUAAGUUCCGACCUGCACGAAUGGCGUAACGACUUCUCCGCUGUCUCGACCGUGAUCUCGGUGAAAUUGCAGUACGAGUAAAGAUGCUCGUUUCGCGCAGCAGGACGGAAAGACCCCGGGACCUUUACUAUAGCUUGGUAUUGGUGUGUGUUUGUGCUUGUGUAGGAUAGGUGGGAGACUGUGAUGCCGUGCCGCUAGGUGUGGUGGAGUCGUUGGUGAAAUACCAUUCUGGUUCAAGUAUGCAUCUAACUUGGAGCCCUGAUCGGGUUUGGGGACAGUGCCUGGUGGGUAGUUUAACUGGGGCGGUUGCCUCCUAAAGGGUAACGGAGGCGCUCAAAGGUUCUCUCAGCCUGGUUGGUGAUCAGGUGGUGAGUGUAAGUGCACAAGAGGGCUUGACUGUGACACUGACGGGUGGAGCAGGUACGAAAGUAGGAACUAGUGAUCCGGCCAUGGCUUGUGGAAGCGUGGUCGCUCAACGGAUAAAAGGUACCCCGGGGAUAACAGGCUGAUCUUGCCCAAGAGUCCAUAUCGACGGCAUGGUUUGGCACCUCGAUGUCGGCUCGUCGCAUCCUGGGGCUGGAGUUGGUCCCAAGGGUUGGGCUGUUCGCCCAUUAAAGCGGUACGCGAGCUGGGUUUAGAACGUCGUGAGACAGUUCGGUCCCUAUCCGCUGCGCGCGUUGGAAACUUGAUGAAGGCCCGUCCCUAGUACGAGAGGACCGGGAUGGACGAACCUCUGGUGUGCCAGUUGUACUGCCAGGUGCAUUGCUGGUUGGCUACGUUCGGUUGGGAUAACCGCUGAAAGCAUCUAAGCGGGAAGCUUUCUUCGAGAUGAGGUUUCCGUGCCCCCGUUGU